AACGCACAUUGCGCCCGCCAGUAUUCUGGCGGGCAUGCCUGUCCGAGCGUCAUUUCAACCCUCGCGCCCAUCUGGGCUGCGGUGUUGGGGACCGGUCUGCCCCCCCGGGGCGCGCCGCCCCCCAAAUUCAGUGGCGGUCUCGCUGCAGCCUCCCUUGCGUAGUAGCACACCUCGCACCGGAGCGCAGCGCGGCCACGCCGUAAAACCCCCGACCCCCAUGAGUUUGACCUCGGAUCAGGUAGGAAUACCCGCUGAACUUAA
Molecule: unclassified non-coding RNA, 261 nt
Filed under: uncultured fungus
Lineage: Eukaryota; Fungi
Description: partial contains 5.8S ribosomal RNA, internal transcribed spacer 2, and large subunit ribosomal RNA
Rfam family: 5.8S ribosomal RNA (bases 1-52)
Source: RNAcentral